Molecule: long non-coding RNA, 4105 nt
Filed under: Ostreococcus sp. 'lucimarinus'
Lineage: Eukaryota; Viridiplantae; Chlorophyta; Mamiellophyceae; Mamiellales; Bathycoccaceae
Description: long non-coding RNA (OLUC_LNC000053)
Source: RNAcentral
GCGUCAAUAAGUGAUGAUGAUUACAAGUAGCUAUCAUUGAUUAGUACUCGAUGGGCACGUUAACUUUUCGAUUACGAAAUAUGCGAUGCUACGGCAGGGGGAGUAGCGCCCAUCCCGAACACCACCAUGGGAAACCCGCUAUCGAGUUACACUAAAUGAAAACUCAAAUCUAUUUUCACUUCGCGUACGUACGCUAGGCGUGAGACUCUACACGGCGAGGUACGCUAAGUAAGAUAUUGAAUACGAUGUCCAAAGUAUCGUCCCCACAGCUUCUUUGUAUCGACCAGCAUUUUCAAUCCAGUUCAAGCGCGCUGCUUUGUUUGACGUGACGAAUUGCGGCUUGAACGACACGAACAUUCCAUCGAAGGUUAGCGACGUUGUGUGACUCCAUGUCCUCGAUCGUUCGAUCCCGUUGGUCUGGAUGCUUCAUCCAGAAAAGAGCCGUGGUUCGCGGCCAUGCCGGAUGCUCUCGUGCGGACGCUCUCGUGCGCACCAUAGAACGCAGGUUCGGGUGGCACUUGCUCAUCACGUGCCACAAGCCACAGGAUUCAAAGCAUGGUGGACUUUGAUGCGUGAAACAGGUUCGUAGAUGACAGCCGUUGUCACGAAGUCAAAGCUCUUUAUCGGCGCACUUAAAGUGUAUGCAGUAGACCAGAUCCAAAAAUAAACACAAGAUAGUUUCGUCCUCGGAGCGACCUUCGGUGUAAAAGAAUACAGACUGAGAGACUCACAGAACUAGCCUCUGACAGAACGUGGAGGGUAGAGGGGUCACCAGUGCUUUAACGAUCGAAAGACUUUGUCGAAGUGCCGCGUGUACAUGAAUUUCUGUGGUUUUAUUCUCCCCGUUAUCUCUGACGCGUGUCGGAUCAAUACCAGGUAUGAUAUAUGGGUGAGUAAUUUGUACAUGAAUACGGGAAGCUCGCCUAGGUUACCCCCGAAGGAGUAAUCACUUUCGCGCCCCGCCGAACCGCCGUUCGUUUUCUGCGCGCCGGUGCGAGUGGCGUCAAAAGGCGCGGCGUCGCGUGGACAUCGCGCGCAGCACUCGCGAACGCCCUCGAGGCGCGCGCGGUAUUCGCGAGCAUGUCGUCGAGAUAAUCUGCGAAAAUCUAGACGCGCUCGACCGAGACGCCCGUCCGCCCGCAUGCGCAUCCUUCUCACCGGUGGCGCCGGCUUCAUCGGCUCGCACGUCGCCGAGCGCCUCGCGUCGAGGCAUCCCGAGUACACGGUGCGCGCACGAUUUCGACCCCGUGCGCGUGCGUCGAACAACGCACGGACUUUGCACCCAUCUCUCGCGCGAACGACUGACCGCGAACGACUCGUCGCGCUCGACAGAUUGUCAUCCUGGACAAGCUCGACUAUUGCUCGAGCUUGAAAAAUCUCGAGCGCGCGAAAGAAUGCGCGAACGUGCGGUUCGUCAAGGGCGAUGUGCGUUCGUUCGAUUUAUUGAGUUACGUCUUGCAAAGCGAGCGCAUCGACACCGUCAUGCACUUCGCCGCGCAGAGUCACGUGGACAACUCUUUCGGGAACUCGUACGAGUUCACGAAGAAUAACAUCGAGGGCACGCACGCGUUACUCGAGGCGUGCGUGCGAGCGCAGAAGACCGAAAUUCGACGAUUCCUGCACGUGUCCACGGAUGAGGUAUACGGGGAAAAUCUCAUGGAUUCAAACACCGAGCACGCGUCGCUCCUGACGCCCACCAACCCGUACGCCGCGACCAAGGCGGGCGCGGAGAUGCUCGUCAUGGCGUAUGGACGCUCGUACGGACUACCGUACAUCAUCACUCGCGGAAACAACGUGUAUGGGCCGAAUCAGUAUCCAGAGAAGGCGAUUCCAAAGUUUUCAAUCCUCGCGAAACGCGGGGAAAAGAUUUCGAUACACGGCGACGGCGACGCGACGCGUUCGUACAUGCACGUUGACGAUGCGUCUUCGGCGUUCGAUGUCAUUCUCCACCGCGGGACGACGGCGCAGAUUUAUAACAUCGGCUCGCGCGAAGAGCGGACGAUCUUGUCCGUCGCUCGGGAUGUCUGUAAGCUCCUCGAUCGCGACCCGGAAACGACCAUCGAGCACGUGAGCGAUCGAGCCUUCAACGACCGAAGAUAUUUCAUCGAUUGCUCAAAGCUUUUAGCGCUCGGAUGGCGACAAGAAAAGUCCUGGGACGUCGGUCUCGCGGAAACCGUGCGUUGGUACUCGAAUAACGACUUGAGCGCCUACUGGGGCGAAUUCUCACCUGCGUUGCGCCCGCACCCUUCGGCGAGCGCGGACGGUCGACGACGAUCGCUCGAGUUUGAUUUCACAAACGAGCUUGAUGAUUGCACGACACUGGCUUUGUAAGUGUGAGUGAUUGGAACUCCAGAUUGUGGUUCAAAUUGGUCCAAUCCCGAGUCGACGAAAGUCUUUUUCCAAGUUUUUUUCCAAGAAUUAUUUGCGUACAUCAUCAGCUUGCACUCGCCUCCCGGUUUGAGAGUCAUGAAAUAUCCUUCACGGCGGGUUGUACAUCGGCGAUGUGAUGCAGAACUCCGAAACUAAAAAGAGGAUCAAAAUGGUCGUGCAUGAAUUCAUCGGUCUGUAUAUCUGCAACGCGCACCUCACCAUUGAGUUUGAACAGUUUGAGUCGCUUCUCAGCGAGUUCUACACUUCGCAAGGAAACGUCGAUGCCUGUGUAAACCGCGCCAGCUUCAGUAAAACUUUGUGUCGCGGUCCCUAUACCGCAACCAACCUCGAGAACAGAUUGUUUUCGUACGCGUCGAGACUUGCGAAUGCCAAAGUGUGGUUCUCGACGAAAUAUUUACGCCGCGUCACUUCUUCAAAGUAUUCCUUCGAGCCGAAUGUUACAAGGGCGAUCAUCGUAAAACGUUUUCACGAACUCAUUCGACUCGCGCAUGGCGUCGCUCACGACCGGUGUACUUAAUGUUAGUGCGCGUGUCAAGAGCGUUGUUGCGGUAGUUUCGACGCAGAGGAAAGCAGUGGUGAGUCAACACCGAGGCUGUGGUCCGCGGUUGCGUUCCUACGACAUAUACCUAACAAAGUACCAGGGAUAAUAAAGUCCAGAAAGAGACAUGCUUUAAGAGAGUGGAGUGAUCUUGGGCCAGUCGCCGUCUCUGACGUUGCAACGUCGCAGAGCGAAGAUGGCUACCACUCGAUCGAUCUUGCAAACAACGCGCGCCAGAUUCGUCGGUCUGGGCCGACUCGGACUAUGUACGGCUCUCAAGUGUGAACAAGCUGAUUGGGAUAUCGUUGGUUCGGAUGUCUUUCCGGCGCACGUGGACAGCAUCAACGAAAUCACGCUUCGUUUGACUGAGCCAAGAGUCGAGGAAGCGCUUCGAUCGAGCAAACAUCUGCGCGCAACUUUAAAGCUGCGUGAAGUGAUCGAUCGCGUCGAUAUGGUCUUCAUCCUCGUCGCCACGCCCACUGACUCUGGAGAUCAAGCGUACGACACAAGCGCGCUCAGUCGGUUUUUUGAGUGAUAUUAGCGACUUGAACCCCGAGAACAAACACUUGAUGAUUUGAGGCACGGUGUUACCUGGCUAGAUCUCGAUAGGUGUAAGGUAUCCUACGUCGCAUAUGAAUCGAAUUGUCCUGUGGAUAUCAUCGAAGAGUCCCAGCUGCUCGAAAUCGCGAAACGACUCGUGCGACGGGGGAAGAAAGUGACAGUUUUCGACCGGGUGGCGAUUGUUCACUUAGUGCGAGGAACGUACGGGCAGUUGUUCGAUUACGAAAUAUGCGAUACUACGGCAGGGGGAGUAGCGCCCAUCCCGAACACCACCAUGGAAAACCCGCUAUCGAGUUACACUAAAUGAAAACUCAAAUCUAUUUUCACUUCGCGUACAUACGCUAGGCGUGAGACUCUACAUGGCGAGGUACGCCAAGUAAGAUAUUGAAUACGAUGUCCAAAGUAUCGCCCCCACAGCUUCUUUGUAUCGACCAGCAUUUUCAAUCCAGUUCAAGCGCGCUGCUUUGUUUGACAUGACGAAUUGCGGCUUGAACGACACGAGCAUUCCAUCGAAGGUUAGCAACGUUGUGUGACUCCAUGUCCUCGAUCGUUCGAUCCCGUUGGUCUGGAUGCUUCAUCCAGUUGCUCAUGAGUUCCACAGCAUGCUCGGCACUG